GUUUCUAUAGUUGAAAUACAACGUUGGUUUUUCAAGCCACAGGUCUUAGUUAAAGUCUAGGUAGAAAUA
RNAcentral lists this transfer RNA (69 nucleotides) under Neobythites unimaculatus. RNAcentral's name for it is "tRNA-Glu". It matches the Rfam family "tRNA". Rfam says of the family: Transfer RNA (tRNA) molecules are approximately 80 nucleotides in length. Their secondary structure includes four short double-helical elements and three loops (D, anti-codon, and T loops). Further hydrogen bonds mediate the characteristic L-shaped molecular structure. tRNAs have two regions of fundamental functional importance: the anti-codon, which is responsible for specific mRNA codon recognition, and the 3' end, to which the tRNAs corresponding amino acid is attached (by aminoacyl-tRNA synthetases). tRNAs cope with the degeneracy of the genetic code in two manners: having more than one tRNA (with a specific anti-codon) for a particular amino acid; and 'wobble' base-pairing, i.e. permitting non-standard base-pairing at the 3rd anti-codon position. The record is from RNAcentral. Lineage: Eukaryota; Metazoa; Chordata; Actinopteri; Ophidiiformes; Ophidiidae.